Molecule: unclassified non-coding RNA, 269 nt
Filed under: Hevea brasiliensis (rubber tree)
Lineage: Eukaryota; Viridiplantae; Streptophyta; Magnoliopsida; Malpighiales; Euphorbiaceae
Source: RNAcentral
AAAAAAAUGGAGAAAACGAACUUGUUUGUACCGACUUCUCGAGGAUUACAAUUUGCUCUCUUUGAAAAACCAGUGAUGCCUUGUGUUCUGUAUUUAGGGUCUUGAGAAACUGAUUGAAGAAUUAAAGAUUGAAGAUAUCUUGUAGAUUUUAUUUUAAAAAUAAUAUAUGCUCGUUUUGUGAGUUUCUGUAAACCAACUUCUAUGUUAUUUAAUAUACUAAACUCUCUCCUUUCUUCAAAAAGAGCAAAUUGUAAUCCUCGAGAAGUCGG